This 1454-nucleotide ribosomal RNA is filed under the name uncultured bacterium. Its description in RNAcentral is "16S ribosomal RNA". It matches the Rfam family "Bacterial small subunit ribosomal RNA". The record is from RNAcentral.
GUUUGAUUCUGGCUCAGAGUGAACGCUGGCGGCGUGCCUAAUACAUGCAAGUCGAACGAUGAAGCUCUAGCUUGCUAGAGUGGAUUAGUGGCGCACGGGUGAGUAAUGCAUAGAUAACAUGCCCUUUAGUCUAGGAUAGCCAUUGGAAACGAUGAUUAAUACUGGAUACUCCUUACGAGGGAAAGUUUUUCGCUAAAGGAUUGGUCUAUGUCCUAUCAGCUUGUUGGUGAGGUAAUGGCUCACCAAGGCUAUGACGGGUAUCCGGCCUGAGAGGGUGAACGGACACACUGGAACUGAGACACGGUCCAGACUCCUACGGGAGGCAGCAGUAGGGAAUAUUGCUCAAUGGGGGAAACCCUGAAGCAGCAACGCCGCGUGGAGGAUGAAGGUUUUCGGAUUGUAAACUCCUUUUGUUAGAGAAGAUAAUGACGGUAUCUAACGAAUAAGCACCGGCUAACUCCGUGCCAGCAGCCGCGGUAAUACGGAGGGUGCAAGCGUUACUCGGAAUCACUGGGCGUAAAGAGCGCGUAGGCGGGAUAGCAAGUCAGAUGUGAAAUCCUAUGGCUUAACCAUAGAACUGCAUUUGAAACUGUUAUUCUAGAGUAUGGGAGAGGUAGGUGGAAUUCUUGGUGUAGGGGUAAAAUCCGUAGAGAUCAAGAGGAAUACUCAUUGCGAAGGCGACCUGCUAGAACAUAACUGACGCUGAUGCGCGAAAGCGUGGGGAGCAAACAGGAUUAGAUACCCUGGUAGUCCACGCCCUAAACGAUGAAUGCUAGUUGUUGUGGAGCUUGUCUCUGCAGUAAUGCAGCUAACGCAUUAAGCAUUCCGCCUGGGGAGUACGGUCGCAAGAUUAAAACUCAAAGGAAUAGACGGGGACCCGCACAAGCGGUGGAGCAUGUGGUUUAAUUCGAAGAUACACGAAGAACCUUACCUAGGCUUGACAUUGAUAGAAUCCGCUAGAGAUAGUGGAGUGCUAGCUUGCUAGAACUUGAAAACAGGUGCUGCACGGCUGUCGUCAGCUCGUGUCGUGAGAUGUUGGGUUAAGUCCCGCAACGAGCGCAACCCUCGUCCUUAGUUGCUAACUAUUCGGUAGAGCACUCUAAGGAGACUGCCUUCGCAAGGAGGAGGAAGGUGAGGAUGACGUCAAGUCAUCAUGGCCCUUACGCCUAGGGCUACACACGUGCUACAAUGGGAAGCACAAAGAGAUGCAAUAUUGUGAAAUGGAGCAAAUCUAUAAAACUUCUCUCAGUUCGGAUUGUAGUCUGCAACUCGACUACAUGAAGCUGGAAUCGCUAGUAAUCGUAAAUCAGCUAUGUUACGGUGAAUACGUUCCCGGGUCUUGUACUCACCGCCCGUCACACCAUGGGAGUUGUAUUCGCCUUAAGUCGGAAUGCCAAACUGGCUACCGCCCACGGCGGAUGCAGCGACUGGGGUGAAGUCGUAACAAGGUACCC